This 905-nucleotide ribosomal RNA is filed under the name Lactobacillus delbrueckii subsp. bulgaricus. RNAcentral describes it as "bacterial SSU rRNA". It matches the Rfam family "Bacterial small subunit ribosomal RNA", at positions 1 to 872 of the family's 1533-position model. Lineage: Bacteria; Bacillati; Bacillota; Bacilli; Lactobacillales; Lactobacillaceae. The record is from RNAcentral.
CAAAAUGAGAGUUUGAUCCUGGCUCAGGACGAACGCUGGCGGCGUGCCUAAUACAUGCAAGUCGAGCGAGCAGAACCAGCAGAUUUACUUCGGUAAUGACGCUGGGGACGCGAGCGGCGGAUGGGUGAGUAACACGUGGGGAACCUGCCCCAUAGUCUGGGAUACCACUUGGAAACAGGUGCUAAUACCGGAUAAGAAAGCAGAUCGCAUGAUCAGCUUAUAAAAGGCGGCGUAAGCUGUCGCUAUGGGAUGGCCCCGCGGUGCAUUAGCUAGUUGGUAAGGUAACGGCUUACCAAGGCAAUGAUGCAUAGCCGAGUUGAGAGACUGAUCGGCCACAUUGGGACUGAGACACGGCCCAAACUCCUACGGGAGGCAGCAGUAGGGAAUCUUCCACAAUGGACGCAAGUCUGAUGGAGCAACGCCGCGUGAGUGAAGAAGGUUUUCGGAUCGUAAAGCUCUGUUGUUGGUGAAGAAGGAUAGAGGCAGUAACUGGUCUUUAUUUGACGGUAAUCAACCAGAAAGUCACGGCUAACUACGUGCCAGCAGCCGCGGUAAUACGUAGGUGGCAAGCGUUGUCCGGAUUUAUUGGGCGUAAAGCGAGCGCAGGCGGAAUGAUAAGUCUGAUGUGAAAGCCCUCGGCUUAACCGAGGAACUGCAUCGGAAACUGUUUUUCUUGAGUGCAGAAGAGGAGAGUGGAACUCCAUGUGUAGCGGUGGAAUGCGUAGAUAUAUGGAAGAACACCAGUGGCGAAGGCGACUCUCUGGUCUGCAACUGACGCUGAGGCUCGAAAGCAUGGGUAGCGAACAGGAUUAGAUACCCUGGUAGUCCAUGCCGUAAACGAUGAGUGCUAAGUGUUGGGAGGUUUCCGCCUCUCAGUGCUGCAGCUAACGCAUUAAGCACUCCGC